Non-coding RNA from Tinamus guttatus (white-throated tinamou), 70 nucleotides. NCBI's taxonomy places the organism in Eukaryota, Metazoa, Chordata, Aves, Tinamiformes, Tinamidae. The record is from Rfam.
CAGAAGAUAGUUUAAUGGAGAAUACCAGCUUUGGGAGCUGGAGGUAGGGGUUUGAGUCUCCUUUUUCUGA